Non-coding RNA from Mycena latifolia, 93 nucleotides. Lineage: Eukaryota; Fungi; Basidiomycota; Agaricomycetes; Agaricales; Mycenaceae. The record is from the annotation of a GenBank genome assembly.
GGCUUGGUAGCGUAGUGGCAACACGCUCCGUGGAUCUAUAGCAUUUAUAUAUCGGUUGAUGGAAAGUCCGGAGUUCAAUUCUCUGUCAAGCCA